RNAcentral lists this ribosomal RNA (938 nucleotides) under Sphingobacterium sp. RNAcentral's name for it is "bacterial SSU rRNA". It matches the Rfam family "Bacterial small subunit ribosomal RNA", at positions 33 to 965 of the family's 1533-position model. Lineage: Bacteria; Pseudomonadati; Bacteroidota; Sphingobacteriia; Sphingobacteriales; Sphingobacteriaceae. The record is from RNAcentral.
GAGUUUGCGGGCAGCUAUACAUGCAGUCGGACGGGAUCCAUAGGCAGAGCUUGCUCAGAGAUGGUGAGAGUGGCGCACGGGUGCGUAACGCGUGAGCAACCUACCUCUAUCAGGGGGAUAGCCUCUCGAAAGAGAGAUUAACACCGCAUAACAUCAACAGUUCGCAUGUUCGGUUGAUUAAAUAUUUAUAGGAUAGAGAUGGGCUCGCGUGACAUUAGCUAGUUGGUAGGGUAACGGCUUACCAAGGCGACGAUGUCUAGGGGCUCUGAGAGGAGAAUCCCCCACACUGGUACUGAGACACGGACCAGACUCCUACGGGAGGCAGCAGUAAGGAAUAUUGGUCAAUGGGCGGAAGCCUGAACCAGCCAUGCCGCGUGCAGGAUGACUGCCCUAUGGGUUGUAAACUGCUUUUGUCCAGGAAUAAACCCAGAUACGUGUAUCUGGCUGAAUGUACUGGAAGAAUAAGGAUCGGCUAACUCCGUGCCAGCAGCCGCGGUAAUACGGAGGAUCCGAGCGUUAUCCGGAUUUAUUGGGUUUAAAGGGUGCGUAGGCGGCCAAUUAAGUCAGGGGUGAAAUACGGUGGCUCAACCAUCGCAGUGCCUUUGAUACUGAUCGGCUUGAAUCCAUUUGAAGUGGGCGGAAUAAGACAAGUAGCGGUGAAAUGCAUAGAUAUGUCUUAGAACUCCGAUUGCGAAGGCAGCUCACUAAGCUGGUAUUGACGCUGAUGCACGAAAGCGUGGGGAUCGAACAGGAUUAGAUACCCUGGUAGUCCACGCCCUAAACGAUGAUAACUCGAUGUUGGCGAUAGACAGCCAGCGUCCCAGCGAAAGCGUUAAGUUAUCCACCUGGGGAGUACGCCCGCAAGGGUGAAACUCAAAGGAAUUGACGGGGGCCCGCACAAGCGGAGGAGCAUGUGGUUUAAUUCGAUGAUACGCGAG